RNAcentral lists this microRNA precursor (106 nucleotides) under Canis lupus dingo (dingo). RNAcentral's name for it is "mir-8834 microRNA precursor family". It matches the Rfam family "mir-8834 microRNA precursor family". Lineage: Eukaryota; Metazoa; Chordata; Mammalia; Carnivora; Canidae. The record is from Rfam by way of RNAcentral.
AGGAGGAACAACCCCAGUGGCGGUGGCCAGCUCUGGAGCCCUGGAGUCAGCUCCCGCAGUAGUUACAGAGCUCUUCAUCUGUAGGGCCUGGAUGCUCCGGGGGCGG